GAUCCUGCUCAGAUUGAACGCUGGCGGCAGGCCUAACACAUGCAAGUCGAACGGUAACAGGAAACAGCUUGCUGUUUCGCUGACGAGUGGCGGACGGGUGAGUAAUGUCUGGGAAACUGCCUGAUGGAGGGGGAUAACUACUGGAAACGGUAGCUAAUACCGCAUAAUGUCGCAAGACCAAAGAGGGGGACCUUCGGGCCGUCUUGCCAUCGGAUGUGCCCACGAUGGGAGUUAGCUAGUAGGUGGGG
RNAcentral lists this ribosomal RNA (248 nucleotides) under uncultured bacterium. RNAcentral describes it as "partial 16S ribosomal RNA". It matches the Rfam family "Bacterial small subunit ribosomal RNA", at positions 15 to 257 of the family's 1533-position model. The record is from RNAcentral.